RNAcentral lists this ribosomal RNA (800 nucleotides) under uncultured crenarchaeote. Its description in RNAcentral is "bacterial SSU rRNA". It matches the Rfam family "Archaeal small subunit ribosomal RNA", at positions 1 to 808 of the family's 1478-position model. The record is from RNAcentral. Lineage: Archaea; Thermoproteati; Thermoproteota.
UUCCGGUUGAUCCUGCCGGACCUGACUGCUAUCGGAUUGAUACUAAGCCAUGUGAGUCAUUGUAGCAAUACAAGGCAGACGGCUCAGUAACACGUAGUCAAUCUACCCUAUGGACGGGGAUAACCUCGGGAAACUGAGGAUAACACCCGAUAGAUCAUAAUUCCUGGAACGGUUUAUGGUCCAAAUGAUUCGUCGCCGUAGGAUGGGACUGCGGCCUAUCAGCUUGUUGGUGAGGUAAUGGCCCACCAAGGCUAUUACAGAUACGGGCUCUGAGAGGAGAAGCCCGGAGAUGGGUACUGAGACACGGACCCAGGUCCUAUGGGGCGCAGCAGGCGAGAAAACUUUGCAAUGUGCGAAAGCACGACAAGGUUAAUCCGAGUGUUUUCUGCUAAAGAAAUCUUUUGUUAGUUCUAAAACCACUAUCGAAUAAGGGGUGGGCAAGUUCUGGUGUCAGCCGCCGCGGUAAAACCAGCACCUCAAGUGGUCAGGAGGAUUAUUGGGCCUAAAGCAUCCGUAGCCAGCUAUGUUAGUUUUCGGUUAAAUCCAUGUGCUCAACAUAUGGGCUGUCGAGAAUACUGCAUAGCUAGGGAGUGGGAGAGGUAGACGGUACUCGGUAGGAAGGGGUAAAAUCCUUUGAUCUAUCGAUGACCACCAGUGGCGAAGGCGGUCUACCAGAACACGUCCGACGGUGAGGGAUAAAAGCUGGGGGAGCAAACCGGAUUAGAUACCCGGGUAGUCCCAGCUGUAAACGAUGCAGACUCGGUGAUGCGCCGGCUUGUGGCCAGUGCAGUGCCGCAGGA